GGGGAAUCUUCCGCAAUGGGCGAAAGCCUGACGGAGCAACGCCGCGUGAGUGAAGACGGCCUUCGGGUUGUAAAGCUCUGUUAUACGGGACGAAAAGUCUUGUGGUUAAUACCCAUAAGAAGUGACGGUACCGUAAGAGAAAGCCACGGCUAACUACGUGCCAGCAGCCGCGGUAAUACGUAGGUGGCAAGCGUUGUCCGGAAUUAUUGGGCGUAAAGGGCGCGCAGGCGGCUUCUUAAGUCUGUCUUAAAAGUGCGGGGCUUAACCCCGUGAUGGGAUGGAAACUGGGAAGCUCAGAGUAUAGGAGAGGAAAGCGGAAUUCCUAGUGUAGCGGUGAAAUGCGUAGAUAUUAGGAGGAACACCAGUGGCGAAAGCGGCUUUCUGGACGAAAACUGACGCUGAGGCGCGAAAGCCAGGGGAGCGAACGGGAUUAGAUACCCCGGUAGUCCUGGCCGUAAACGAUGGGUACUAGGUGUAGGAGGUAUCGACCCCUUCUGUGCCGGAGUUAACGCAAUAAGUACCCCGCCUGGGGAGUACGACCGCAAGGUUG
RNAcentral lists this ribosomal RNA (550 nucleotides) under uncultured bacterium. Its description in RNAcentral is "bacterial SSU rRNA". It matches the Rfam family "Bacterial small subunit ribosomal RNA", at positions 356 to 896 of the family's 1533-position model. The record is from RNAcentral.